This is a long non-coding RNA of Sorghum bicolor (sorghum), 2155 nucleotides long. RefSeq lists it as uncharacterized. NCBI's taxonomy places the organism in Eukaryota, Viridiplantae, Streptophyta, Magnoliopsida, Poales, Poaceae. The transcript has 2 exons. The record is from RefSeq and is a predicted model, not a curated record.
ACCCUUUGGAAGCACAUUGGACGCGGGAUUGCAGCCCACAUCCCGUUGUUUUCCACGAGGCAGAAAGCCACGAGUCAUCUGGCCGGGAGCGCAUCCCCUCCCUAUCGACUUGCGACGCAUCGCGCAUCUAUCUCCUCGCCGACUCCGCGUCGAGCGAGAUUGCCCCUUCCGCCGUCGCCACCAUGGAUGCCCUCCUCUGUCCUCGCCUCCAUUGCGUACCAGCACCUCAGCCUCCGCACAGUGAAUCCCGCAUGGGCGCAUCUCCCUGCCUCCUCUAGGGUUUCUUCUCUCUUUGUUCCUCUCACUAAUCCUUGUAGAUCUUGGGGAAGAAGAUCCGAGGCCGCCCAGGAUCCCCGGCGAGACAACGACGGCGAGACUAGUUCUCUCUGCAACCACACGUCCACAGCUCUAUGUCUCAGCCGGCCGCGGAACGUCCGCCCCUUGUACAGCCUUACUUGGCCUGUCAGUUGGUAAAGGAACGAAAAUUAGCAGUAGGUUAUGCCUCUCUCUUCUCUAUGUGCAAGAUGGCAAUAGUAGAAGAAUUCAGACUUGAGAUUAUGUUCUAGAAAUGUGAACAAAUGAUCUAGAUGCUUUGGUGCAGCAGGUAUUUUGAUCAGUCAAAUCAAAUGAAAAAUCAUGUUCAUUUGCUUAAUUCAAUAGUCCACUAGAAGUUCUGUGAUUUUGUGUCAAGCUGCUUCUUGAACCUGAAGUGUUUGCACAUUAUCUAUGGACCAUAAUGGUUCCAUUUUUACAAUUUUCUAAAAUGCCAACUAAUUUUUCAUUCUAAUAAAAAUCACUUCAAUUUCUCACGGUUUAACUAUAAUGAAACUGUAUGCAGUCCUAAGCUAGUUUAGAUGUGUGUUUGUUGAUCUAUGCAUCUGUUCAUCUAUUUUCUAAGUGUGUUGAUGCUUUGUUAUUUUAUUUCUUCACUUUAUGAUGGCUCACACUGUUUCCAGUUUGGAAAUGCUGCUUUCUUCUAGUCAUUACUCGGUAGCAACCUUUGCUAUCUUCCGCUGCUCCUGUUGUUCUGAAUGUAUAUUCAAUCAGCUCUAGGAAUUUGUCAUUCUAGGUCAGGUAGUCAGUCUUUAUUGAGUACUCGUGAUAGAUGAAUAUGUUGUAUUUAGGCUCAUAUUGUUUUCGACGAGCAGUUUAGUGGGUACAAGUUUAGAGGUAGAACAAGCUGAAAGUUCUAUUCCUGUAGAAAAGGAAAAGUUCACCAUUCUACUUUGUCUAAUAUUUCAAAAUCAAUUUUGUUCACCAUUCUGGAAGACAAGGGUUAAAGUUUGUUGUCCAGCUAUAGAUUAUUCUGCUUGAUUUGUAAAUGUCUCUAAAUCCAAAUUCCUUUGUUGGCCUUGGUGAGACAAAUUAUGGCUCACACUAGCAGAGGUUCUCUGUCGCACAAUCGCAUUUUGUUUCUCCUUCAUUCACUAUCUGUCUUAUCCUGUUACCUCCUAUACUUUGCAAAUGCAUGAACGUUAGAAAUAGUACACUAUUAAUUGUUGUCGCUGCACAGGGCCCCUUCACUCAUGGAGUCCCUGUUGGCGAUUCAAGCAUGGAAUUCAGCUUUAACAACCAUAUGGAAGUGCAUAUGGGUUUGUCAGAUUAAUGCUUUUUGUGCACAUGGAAAUCUCAGUAAUCUGCAUUAUUCAGUUUCUUGAGCUCCAAUUACAUAGAUAUUAUGGCAAUCUCAUCCUCCCCUGCGUCUCCUGCCAUGUGAUUCACCUGCACCUUCUUGUGAUGUGCGUUGUCCGCUUGUUCUACAGCCACGAACAUAGACAGGUGCCCUACAGGCUGCAGGCCAUGCGUAUGUGGCAUCAGUGGUAGCUAUGAGCAGUGAGGUGUGUAGUUAGUGAUCAGUUCUUCAAAGGUGGAUAUGCUUGCCUUGAAGAUAAACUAGCAAGAUGGCGAAUAGCAGUGUAGAAGCUCAAUCCUUCUACCAUGUGGAUAUUUACGGAACAAUACUUGAAGUCAAGUUUACCUUUUGGAUGCAACUUGCAAGGCUGAUGGAGAGGCGAAUGAAAGCUUGUAUCAUAUUAUUUGACGACAUAUAUGUGUUAUAAGAAGCUUUUUUUUCUCGAGUCUUUUUCAUGAUUAUUUGAGUCAUCUAGAUAUAUGUAAUAGCUUUAUUAUAUUAUAUUAUUUGAUUUUCUAGACA